GGAGCUUGCUCCCGGAUGUUAGCGGCGGACGGGUGAGUAACACGUGGGUAACCUGCCUGUAAGACUGGGAUAACUCCGGGAAACCGGAGCUAAUACCGGAUAGUUCCUUGAACCGCAUGGUUCAAGGAUGAAAGACGGUUUCGGCUGUCACUUACAGAUGGACCCGCGGCGCAUUAGCUAGUUGGUGAGGUAACGGCUCACCAAGGCGACGAUGCGUAGCCGACCUGAGAGGGUGAUCGGCCACACUGGGACUGAGACACGGCCCAGACUCCUACGGGAGGCAGCAGUAGGGAAUCUUCCGCAAUGGACGAAAGUCUGACGGAGCAACGCCGCGUGAGUGAUGAAGGUUUUCGGAUCGUAAAGCUCUGUUGUUAGGGAAGAACAAGUGCAAGAGUAACUGCUUGCACCUUGACGGUACCUAACCAGAAAGCCACGGCUAACUACGUGCCAGCAGCCGCGGUAAUACGUAGGUGGCAAGCGUUGUCCGGAAUUAUUGGGCGUAAAGGGCUCGCAGGCGGUUUCUUAAGUCUGAUGUGAAAGCCCCCGGCUCAACCGGGGAGGGUCAUUGGAAACUGGGAAACUUGAGUGCAGAAGAGGAGAGUGGAAUUCCACGUGUAGCGGUGAAAUGCGUAGAGAUGUGGAGGAACACCAGUGGCGAAGGCGACUCUCUGGUCUGUAACUGACGCUGAGGAGCGAAAGCGUGGGGAGCGAACAGGAUUAGAUACCCUGGUAGUCCACGCCGUAAACGAUGAGUGCUAAGUGUUAGGGGGUUUCCGCCCCUUAGUGCUGCAGCUAACGCAUUAAGCACUCCGCCUGGGGGAGUACGGUCGCAAGACUGAAACUCAAAGGAAUUGACGGGGGCCCGCACAAGCGGUGGAGCAUGUGGUUUAAUUCGAAGCAACGCGAAGAACCUUACCAGGUCUUGACAUCCUCUGACAACCCUAGAGAUAGGGCUUUCCCUUCGGGGACAGAGUGACAGGUGGUGCAUGGUUGUCGUCAGCUCGUGUCGUGAGAUGUUGGGGUUAAGUCCCGCAACGAGCGCAACCCUUGAUCUUAGUUGC
Molecule: ribosomal RNA, 1061 nt
Filed under: Bacillus sp. (in: firmicutes)
Lineage: Bacteria; Bacillati; Bacillota; Bacilli; Caryophanales; Bacillaceae
Description: bacterial SSU rRNA
Rfam family: Bacterial small subunit ribosomal RNA
Source: RNAcentral